UCUGGUGUCUUAGGCAUAGAGGAACCACACCAAUCCAUCCCAAACUUGGUGGUUAAACUCUACUACGGUGAUGAUACUGUAGGGGGGGUUCUGCAGAAAAAUAGCUCGACGCCAGGA
This 117-nucleotide ribosomal RNA is filed under the name Cephalotus follicularis. The record is from RNAcentral. Lineage: Eukaryota; Viridiplantae; Streptophyta; Magnoliopsida; Oxalidales; Cephalotaceae.